This 549-nucleotide ribosomal RNA is filed under the name uncultured bacterium. Its description in RNAcentral is "bacterial SSU rRNA". It matches the Rfam family "Bacterial small subunit ribosomal RNA", at positions 356 to 896 of the family's 1533-position model. The record is from RNAcentral.
GGGGAAUCUUCCGCAAUGGACGAAAGUCUGACGGAGCAACGCCGCGUGAGUGAUGACGGCCUUCGGGUUGUAAAGCUCUGUUAAUCGGGACGAAUGGUUCUUGUGCGAAUAGUGCGAGAAUUUGACGGUACCGGAAUAGAAAGCCACGGCUAACUACGUGCCAGCAGCCGCGGUAAUACGUAGGUGGCAAGCGUUGUCCGGAAUUAUUGGGCGUAAAGCGCGCGCAGGCGGAUUGGUCAGUCUGUCUUAAAAGUUCGGGGCUUAACCCCGUGAUGGGAUGGAAACUGCCAAUCUAGAGUAUCGGAGAGGAAAGUGGAAUUCCUAGUGUAGCGGUGAAAUGCGUAGAUAUUAGGAAGAACACCAGUGGCGAAGGCGACUUUCUGGACGAAAACUGACGCUGAGGCGCGAAAGCCAGGGGAGCGAACGGGAUUAGAUACCCCGGUAGUCCUGGCCGUAAACGAUGGGUACUAGGUGUAGGAGGUAUCGACCCCUUCUGUGCCGGAGUUAACGCAAUAAGUACCCCGCCUGGGGAGUACGACCGCAAGGUUG